UUCGUAUGUCGGAUGUGAAAGCCCGGGGCUCAACCCCGGAACUGCAUUCGAAACUGCGGGACUAGAGUACAGGAUGGGAGAGCGGAAUUCUUGGUGUANCGGUGAAAUGCGUUGAGAUCAAGAAGAACACCGGCGGCGAAGGCGGCUCUCUAGAAUGUUACUGACACUCAUGCACGAAAGCUGGGGUAGCAAACAGGAUUAGAUACCCUGGUAGUCCCAGCUGUAAACUGUGUGCACUUGGUGUUGGCGGUAUUGACCCCGCCAGUGCCGGAGUUAACGCGUUAAGUGCACCGCCUGAGGAGUACGAUCGCAAGGUUAAAACUCAAAGAAAUUGACGGGGGCCCGCACAAGCGGAGGAGCAUGUGGCUUAAUUCGAUGCAACGCGAAGAACCUUACCUGGGUUUGACAUCGGAGAGGCUUGCCUCUAGCGUGUGAAAGCGCGUUAACUAGACAGGUGCUGCAUGGCUGUCGUCAGUUCGUGCCGUGAGGUGUUGGGUUAAGUCCCGCAACGAACGCAACCCUUAUGUUUAGUUGCCACCCCCGAGCAAUCGGGGCGCACUCUAGACAGACUGCCCGUACAAGCGGGAGGAAGGUGGGGAUGACGUCAAGUCCGUAUGGCCCUUACACCCAGGGCUGCACACGUGCUACAAUGGUCGGUACAGAGGGAUGCUACACCGCGAGGUUACGCAAAUCCCUAAAAGCCGGUCCCAGUUCGGAUUGCAGUCUGUAACUCGACUGCAUGAAGUUGGAUUCGCUAGUAACGGCGUAUCAGCUACGACGCCGUGAAUACGUUCCCGGGCCUUGUACACACCGCCCGUCACAUCAUGAAAGCCGUCUGCACCCGAAGUCACUGAACCAACCAGCAAUGGAGGGAGGUGCCGAAGGUGUGGGUGGUGAUUGGGAUGAAGUCGUAANCAAGUAACNCAGGGCGAAUUCGCGGCCNCAUC
This 947-nucleotide ribosomal RNA is filed under the name uncultured organism. Its description in RNAcentral is "bacterial SSU rRNA". It matches the Rfam family "Bacterial small subunit ribosomal RNA", at positions 580 to 1533 of the family's 1533-position model. The record is from RNAcentral.